This 369-nucleotide ribosomal RNA is filed under the name uncultured organism. RNAcentral describes it as "bacterial SSU rRNA". It matches the Rfam family "Bacterial small subunit ribosomal RNA", at positions 526 to 896 of the family's 1533-position model. The record is from RNAcentral.
CGGAGGGUGCAAGCGUUAUCCGGAUUCACUGGGUUUAAAGGGUGCGUAGGAGGGCAGGUAAGUCAGUGGUGAAAUCUCCAAGCUUAACUUGGAAACUGCCGUUGAUACUAUCUGUCUUGAAUAUGGUGGAGGUGAGCGGAAUAUGUCAUGUAGCGGUGAAAUGCUUAGAUAUGACAUAGAACACCGAUUGCGAAGGCAGCUCGCUACACCUAUAUUGACUCUGAGGCACGAAAGCGUGGGGAUCAAACAGGAUUAGAUACCCUGGUAGUCCACGCCCUAAACGAUGGAUACUCGACGUGCGCGAUAUGACUGUGCGCGUCUGAGCGAAAGCAUUAAGUAUCCCACCUGGGAAGUACGACCGCAAGGUUG